AGGACGCUUCCUUCGGGAAGCGAGCGUACACAGGUGCUGCAUGGCUGUCGUCAGCUCGUGUCGUGAGGUGUUGGGUUAAGUCCCGCAACGAGCGCAACCCUUGUCCUUAGUUACCAGCACGUUAUGGUGGGCACUCUAAGGAGACUGCCGGUGACAAACCGGAGGAAGGUGGGGAUGACGUCAAGUCAUCAUGGCCCUUACGGCCUGGGCUACACACGUGCUACAAUGGUCGGUACAAAGGGUUGCCAAGCCGCAAGGUGGAGCUAAUCCCAUAAAACCGAUCGUAGUCCGGAUCGCAGUCUGCAACUCGACUGCGUGAAGUCGGAAUCGCUAGUAAUCGUGAAUCAGAAUGUCACGGUGAAUACGUUCCCGGGCCUU
This 378-nucleotide ribosomal RNA is filed under the name uncultured Pseudomonas sp. RNAcentral's name for it is "bacterial SSU rRNA". It matches the Rfam family "Bacterial small subunit ribosomal RNA", at positions 1008 to 1382 of the family's 1533-position model. The record is from RNAcentral. Lineage: Bacteria; Pseudomonadati; Pseudomonadota; Gammaproteobacteria; Pseudomonadales; Pseudomonadaceae.